This 323-nucleotide ribosomal RNA is filed under the name uncultured microorganism. RNAcentral describes it as "bacterial SSU rRNA". It matches the Rfam family "Archaeal small subunit ribosomal RNA", at positions 330 to 648 of the family's 1478-position model. The record is from RNAcentral.
GUGCACCAGGCGAGAAACUUUACAAUGCGGGAAACCGUGAUAAGGGAACCUCGAGUGCUGAUGCCCAGCAUUGGCUGUCCACAUGCCUAAAAAGCAUGUGUUAGCAGGGGCCGGCAAGACCGGUGCCAGCCGCCGCGGUAACACCGGCGGCUCGAGUGGUAGCCAUUUUUAUGGGUCUAAAAGCGUCCGUAGCCGGCUUGGGUAAAGUCUUCUGGGGAAAAUCUGGCCGGCUCAACCGUCAGGCGUCCAGGAGAUACUGUCCAGGCUUGGGACCGGGAGAGGUGAGAGGUACCUCAGGGGUAGGGGUGAAAAUCUUGUGAUCC